This 734-nucleotide long non-coding RNA is filed under the name Androctonus crassicauda. Lineage: Eukaryota; Metazoa; Arthropoda; Arachnida; Scorpiones; Buthidae. The record is from RNAcentral.
GGCUGGCAGGUGACUCUCGGCAAAGCUCCUCGGAGCCCAGGGCUGGUCCGCGGGCGCCUUCCCGAGCUGCAGGGACCCAGCUGUUCACCCGGCCGACCCCGCCGAGGGUGCCCGCGUCCCCGCGGUGACACGUGACCAAAGUCAAGACCGCGUCCUUUGUCUUGGCGAGAAACAAGGUGGCCCUCUGGCCAGUAACCGGGGACGGAUGAUAUCUUUGCCUUUGCACCCGCGUUUCUGGAAGCGGAUAAGGUUUCAUUUCCGCGGAGGGGUAAAGGGAGGCAGCCCUCUGCGGCGAGGUCCCGCUGGGGGCCCGUGAGAGCUGCUGGGCAAAGGCCCCGGCACGGUCCUCCGGCUUUCUCUUUUCCCGGGGUUCUCGGAGGCUGUUUCCAGAGCGGAACUGACACAAGCGGAGAGCUGGUACCGCAGCCCCGCUUCCCGUAGGGCAGGCGGAAGGGCGGUGGUGUGCAGCCUUUCCCACAUAAAACGAGCCUUGAACUUGGCCGGCCUAUGAACCGGGUUAUGUUUACUGGGGCUCAGAUCCUCCCUUCACCGUCAGGGUUUCCUUCCCGGUCCCUUCAGCUCCGUCGAGGUCCUGGUGCCAUAGGUCCCUGCACAUUGUGAAAAGUAGUGAUCAAAUGGCAGCCUACUCCUUUUCGGUGGCCAGACCGUCACACUGGCAGGCGCGGGUGAGCUCGUGAUCCCGACCCCUGUAGGAAACCUGUUCCUGGUCGCCC